AUGUUUUAAAAGAUGAACAAAGAUAGAACAAUGCUCGUGUGCACACGAGUGAUGUUUCCGAACGCAGCCUAACUAUUGGCAAUCUCGGAAGACGAAGAAGCGCCAAUCCAAAAAUUCUAUUUAUCGUAUAUGCGUGUGUAACAUGUUCGUGCAUGUCCACAUUUCUCGUCCAUGGUUCAUUGUUCGCACUGUGUUCCUCAAGUGUUAUUACAAGUGGUAUUUUUUGGACGUUUUUCUGUAUAUUAAAUUGUGCCGUGAUGGAUAAUUUUUCGAAGGAACUAUUAAAAUCUUGGGAUUUAGACAUUCUUAUCAAACAUUUUGAAGGUCACUGAAAAAUGAAGAUUUUGAUUCUUUAUCUAAGGAAAUUGAAGAACUGUUUCCAAUAGAAACAUGUAGCACAUGCUACGUUCCACCUAUAGCUAAAAAAUUUUCCAGAAAUAAUAAAUCAAUAACAUCUCAUGGUAAACUCGUUGACAAAUACAGGAAUAAAAUACAGGACUAUAGAAAACUAACAGGAUAUAGUUUAACAGAAUGUAGUUCCACAUCAAUUUCAACGACAUAUAAUAGUGAAUUAAAAGAUGACUCUACAAUUCGUGAAAGCAUAUUGUAGGCUUCAGAAUAAUUUGUCACCAUGGCAAUUAGUUGAAAAUCAUUGGAAAGCGACUUUAGCAUAUAGACGGAAUCAAAUUCAAACAUCUCAAAAUAAAAACUUAGCUGAAAUUUUUUCUGAAUGGCCGGUUUUAAAACAUCCUACAGCAUAUACUUUGAUUGAUGAAGAUUUUAGAUUUCUUAAUUUAACAUCAGAGGAUUGUAUAAAUAAUUGGUUUCAGUUUUUUUCUAAGAUUCAAGAAGUUUGUCCUCUUAAAGAUGAUAAAGUGAUAAAUGAGUUACAUUCUGUAAUUGAAAUGGAAAAUGUAAAAGAUGAUGCUAAAGUUAUAGUACAAAUUCUAUUAUUGUCUCAUCUGAUACCUCCCAAAGGAAGAAUUCGCUUAAAACAAGAACAUUACAAAUCAUCUAUAAGUGAAUGUAAAAACAGCAUCGUAUUACAUGCAAAGAUACCUGGAGAUAUAAGUCGCAUUCAAGAUGAUAAAAUAAAAAGAGUAUAACGUCUAGGAUUGACAAUACAGCCAUACAUAAUAGUUGUUGGUGCUACUCUUGCAGAAGUUAAUUCUAUGUUUGUAUUGAUAAGGUAUUAUAUCAAGUUUCAACGGCACUAGCGGCAGUUGAUUUAUGUUUUAAAAUCUUCCAUGUAUUUGAUGUUAAUUAUCCGCCAGAAAGUGAACACAUCUGGUAUAUCGUGCAGCUUUACCUUUAUAAGUUUUCGACAAAGUAUGACAAACAAAUUUCGUAUGUAAUGCCAAUUAUUAAUGUUUUUAAAACAUUUAAUUCUACAAACAAUUUGUAAUUUGUAAAAAACAUUAUUUUAAACAUACGAAAUUUGUUACAUGUUCGUUAUUAAAUAUUAUAACAAAAAAUUUUAAUUUCUAUUCCUUAUAAAGUUAUAUUUAUAAAUAUUUAUCUUCUUAUUUUAAUAUUUCUGCCAUAACAUGUAUAAGUGUCCAUUUUGUGCUAAUAAUUCUCCGACAAUCAAAUUUCUUGUAGCACAUUUAAAAUUGGCACAUAGCGCAUCAUCGUCUUCUUUUAAAAACAGCAAAAUUGCAUGCAUAGCUUUAUAAAUAUAUAUUCAUUUAAACGUCAUUUAAUCCAAAAGCAUA
Long non-coding RNA from Cataglyphis hispanica, 1715 nucleotides. RefSeq lists it as uncharacterized. The transcript is spliced from 5 exons. NCBI's taxonomy places the organism in Eukaryota, Metazoa, Arthropoda, Insecta, Hymenoptera, Formicidae. The record is from RefSeq and is a predicted model, not a curated record.